RNAcentral lists this ribosomal RNA (484 nucleotides) under uncultured bacterium. Its description in RNAcentral is "partial 16S ribosomal RNA". It matches the Rfam family "Bacterial small subunit ribosomal RNA", at positions 30 to 507 of the family's 1533-position model. The record is from RNAcentral.
AUUGAACGCUGGCGGCAGGCCUAACACAUGCAAGUCGAGCGGAUGAAGGGAGCUUGCUCCUGGAUUCAGCGGCGGACGGGUGAGUAAUGCCUAGGAAUCUGCCUGGUAGUGGGGGAUAACGUCCGGAAACGGGCGCUAGUACCGCAUACGUCCUGAGGGAGAAAGUGGGGGAUCUUCGGACCUCACGCUAUCAGAUGAGCCUAGGUCGAAUUAGCUAGUUGGUGGGGUAAAGGCCUACCAAGGCGACGAUCCGUAACUGGUCUGAGAGGAUGAUCAGUCACACUGGAACUGAGACACGGUCCAGACUCCUACGGGAGGCAGCAGUGGGGAAUAUUGGACAAUGGGCGAAAGCCUGAUCCAGCCAUGCCGCGUGUGUGAAGAAGGUCUUCGGAUUGUAAAGCACUUUAAGUUGGGAGGAAGGGCAGUAAGUUAAUACCUUGCUGUUUUGACGUUACCAACAGAAUAAGCACCGGCUAACUUCGUG